Molecule: ribosomal RNA, 253 nt
Filed under: uncultured bacterium
Lineage: Bacteria
Description: partial 16S ribosomal RNA
Rfam family: Bacterial small subunit ribosomal RNA
Source: RNAcentral
UACGUAGGGGGCAAGCGUUGUCCGGAUUCAUUGGGCGUAAGGAGCGUGUAGGCGGCCAGGUAGGUCGGUUGUGAAAACUGGAGGCUCAACCUUCAGAGGUCGACCGAAACCAUCUGGCUAGAGUCCGGGAGAGGAGAGUGGAAUUCCUGGUGUAGCGGUGAAAUGCGCAGAUAUCAGGAAGAACACCCGUGGCGAAAGCGACUCUCUGGAACGGUACUGACGCUGAGACGCGAAAGCGUGGGGAGCGAACAGG